RNAcentral lists this long non-coding RNA (769 nucleotides) under Bos taurus (domestic cattle). RNAcentral's name for it is "long non-coding RNA NONBTAT001620". Lineage: Eukaryota; Metazoa; Chordata; Mammalia; Artiodactyla; Bovidae. The record is from RNAcentral.
UUACCUGUAUCAUUAACUGUUAUGCAUUUUUUAGUGUAUCGAUGGCUCAGUAAAAAUUAAGCUGUUUAUUUUAUACAGUGCUGUUUAGACAGACAGUUACUAUAGUUUGAAAAUAAUUUAAUUACUUGGUUCAUGUGUCAUUGCCUACGUAGCUGACCAGUACCUGUAGUUAUUUUUAAGUCUGUGUUUUCUUGUGGAAUGUAGAGAUGAGAAUCAUUUCUACAAGAGGGUUACUUGCUCAUAUCAGUGGUCCUAUUUGACAUUACUUCCUUAAUGAUUUAGAAAAUUCAGUGGUGGAUUUUACACAUGACAAGGGAAUAUUUUAGCAAAGUCGUUAAGAUGUGGUGGUGAAGUAGAUUUGAAGACAACAGGCCAUGACAUUGAUUUAAAACUGGAUUCCAUAAAAGUUGCUUUGAUCUUGACUAAGGAUGUGUGACUUCCUGCUGAUGUGCAGCUGUCCAGUUACCCUAGCGCCAAGCUCAUUGAAACACACUCUCCAGGUUGUUGACGAUUUCUGGGUACCGUCCAACCCUGACAUUAUGUAAAAACUGUUGAUAGUAGUGAGUUUUCAAGUAAUGUGUUUUCAUUGAAGAAUAUAUCUUCAUUCCUGACACCAACGUUACCUAUAUUUGACAAAUGGUUAUUUGAAUAAGGCGCUAUGGCUCUAAAAUUUGCCUUAUAAGAAAGAAAAUCAUACUUGCUGACCCUCAAGUCCUCCUUAUCAAGUCAUCUUUCUCCUUCAUCUUUUCCUCCCAUUUCAUUCUCUAUU